Molecule: ribosomal RNA, 216 nt
Filed under: uncultured bacterium
Lineage: Bacteria
Description: partial 16S ribosomal RNA
Rfam family: Bacterial small subunit ribosomal RNA
Source: RNAcentral
UACGAAGGGGGCUAGCGUUGCUCGGAAUUACUGGGCGUAAAGGGCGCGUAGGCGGCUUAGUUAGUCAGGCGUGAAAUUCCUGGGCUCAACCUGGGGACUGCGCUGAUACGGCUAGGCUAGAGGAUGGAAGAGGGCGCGGAAUUCCCAGUGUAGAGGUGAAAUUCGUAGAUAUUGGGAAGAACACCGGGUGGCGAAGGCGGCGACCUGGUCCAUUAC